RNAcentral lists this long non-coding RNA (392 nucleotides) under Nicotiana benthamiana. RNAcentral describes it as "long non-coding RNA (NBEN_LNC038357)". The record is from RNAcentral. Lineage: Eukaryota; Viridiplantae; Streptophyta; Magnoliopsida; Solanales; Solanaceae.
UAGGGACCCAUAUGACCUUAUAUGACCCAAACACAUGUACAUCAUUAUGGCAUGCCGAUAUUUGCCAUGGUGAAGGAUGUGAGAUUAAUAGAGGAAUUACACACGGGCAUUGGUUUGGCAGGAAAGCAAGGUGUGUGAUGAAACAGUUAUGUCGAUAGCUGAUGGGCUUCCAAGGAGAGCCAAUAGUGGAGGUUGCACCAUAAUAAUCAGCCAGGUGUUUUUCGACAUGAGCCGAAGUGGAAAUUCUUAGAAUGGUUUAUUCUAAGUGGCGAUACUCUUUAUGGUGCAGUAUGACAGGUGUUCAGCAAUGUGGAGUACGACGGAUAGCUGCUGCUAUGAUCAUUUUUAAUCAAGCUGGAGUUUGUUGGGAUUUUGCUUAAAAAUGAGAAUGG